RNAcentral lists this long non-coding RNA (198 nucleotides) under Mustela putorius furo (domestic ferret). Its description in RNAcentral is "lncRNA (ENSMPUG00000028091.1)". Lineage: Eukaryota; Metazoa; Chordata; Mammalia; Carnivora; Mustelidae. The record is from RNAcentral.
CACCAACCUGCAGCCAUGGGGAAACUCAAGAGAACAGCUUUGUGAAAAGAGGAGAAGCACAAACACCCAAAAACUAAAUCAUGUGGCCAAGGCUGGACAGGGAGGCAUUAAUUUAACACAUUGCCUCUACAAAGAUCUGGUAUGAACUUUUGUAUAUUAGUAAUACUAAUCAUAACUCCCACAAAACUAAUAUUCGCU